Molecule: ribosomal RNA, 402 nt
Filed under: uncultured bacterium
Lineage: Bacteria
Description: bacterial SSU rRNA
Rfam family: Bacterial small subunit ribosomal RNA
Source: RNAcentral
UGAGGGAUAUUGGUCAAUGGGCGCAAGCCUGAACCAGCGACGCCGCGUGGGUGAAGAAGGUCUUCGGAUCGUAAAGCCCUUUUCCCACUGAAGAGGAAGGACGGUAGGUGGGGAAGAAGUCUCGGCUAACUACGUGCCAGCAGCCGCAGUAAAACGUAGGAGACAAGCGUUAUCCGGAGUUACUGGGCGUAAAGGGCGUGCAGGUGGCGUCUUAAGUCUGUUGUGAAAGCGCCUGGCUUAACCGGGCGAGGCCAAUGGAGACUGAGAGGCUGGAGGACGGCGGAGGGGUGUGGAAUUCCGGGUGUAGUGGUGAAAUGCGUAGAGAUCCGGAGGAACACCGGAGGCGAAGGCGGCACUCUAAGCCGUACCUGACACUGAGACGCGACAGCACGGGGAGCAAAC